AUACUAUGGUGGGGAAGCUUCCUCUGUAGAGCAGCCACAGUCUUUUACUUGUCCCUAUUGUGGAAAAAUGGGCUGUACGGAGACAUCUCUUCAAGAACAUGUUACUUCUGAACAUGCAGAAACAUCAACAGAAGUGAUUUGUCCAAUAUGUGCAGCGUUACCUGGAGGCGAUCCUAAUCAUGUCACGGAUGACUUUGCAGCUCAUCUUACACUUGAACA
This is a long non-coding RNA of Cercocebus atys (sooty mangabey), 219 nucleotides long. RefSeq lists it as uncharacterized. NCBI's taxonomy places the organism in Eukaryota, Metazoa, Chordata, Mammalia, Primates, Cercopithecidae. The transcript has 2 exons. The record is from RefSeq and is a predicted model, not a curated record.